UAACAUUGUAGCUUGCUACAGAUGACGACCGGCGCACGGGUGAGUAACGCGUAUGCAACCUGCCUUUGACAGGGGGAUAGCCCGGAGAAAUCCGGAUUAAUAUCCCAUGGUAUUUACGAAUCGCAUGGUUUGUAAAUUAAAGAUUUUAUCGGUCAAAGAUGGGCAUGCGUGACAUUAGCUAGUUGGUAAGGUAACGGCUUACCAAGGCUGCGAUGUCUAGGGGUUCUGAGAGGAUGAUCCCCCACACUGGUACUGAGACACGGACCAGACUCCUACGGGAGGCAGCAGUGAGGAAUAUUGGUCAAUGGGCGCAAGCCUGAACCAGCCAUCCCGCGUGAAGGAAGACUGCCCUAUGGGUUGUAAACUUCUUUUCUGCACCAAGAAUGGUUACUACGUGUAGUGAUUUGACGGUAGUGCAGGAAUAAGCAUCGGCUAACUCCGUGCCAGCAGCCGCGGUAAUACGGAGGAUGCAAGCGUUAUCCGGAUUCAUUGGGUUUAAAGGGUACGUAGGUGGCCAAUUAAGUCAGUGGUGAAAUCCUGCCGCUUAACGGUAGAACUGCCAUUGAAACUGGUUGGCUUGAGUACAGUUGAGGUAGGCGGAAUGUGUAGUGUAGCGGUGAAAUGCUUAGAUAUUACACAGAACCCCGAUUGCGAAGGCAGCUUACUAAACUGUAACUGACACUGAGGUACGAAAGCGUGGGGAGCGAACAGGAUUAGAUACCCUGGUAGUCCACGCUGUAAACGAUGCUCACUCGCUGUAUGCGAUACAUUGUAUGCGGCCAAGCGAAAGUCUUAAGUGAGCCACCUGGGGAGUACGUUGGCAACAGUGAAACUCAAAGGA
This 841-nucleotide ribosomal RNA is filed under the name Sunxiuqinia sp. RNAcentral's name for it is "bacterial SSU rRNA". It matches the Rfam family "Bacterial small subunit ribosomal RNA", at positions 70 to 908 of the family's 1533-position model. The record is from RNAcentral. Lineage: Bacteria; Pseudomonadati; Bacteroidota; Bacteroidia; Marinilabiliales; Prolixibacteraceae.